Molecule: long non-coding RNA, 764 nt
Organism: Mustela erminea (ermine)
Lineage: Eukaryota; Metazoa; Chordata; Mammalia; Carnivora; Mustelidae
Exons: 7
Source: RefSeq, a predicted model, not a curated record
UAUUCUGAGUCAGACCCGACAAAGGGCAAAAAAUAGAAGGAAGUAAUACCUGAUAAAGCCUCCGAGAGCGAGGUGGAGAUGCUGAAGGAUCAUUUGUUUAGUUUUUGCAAACAAAACGAAUUCGAAUCGACCCAGUGUGCCUCUAAGCUCUUCCGCUUUUCUGGGUCUCCCUUCAUAUCCAGAUGCAGAGGAAGUGUUGCAGUUACCAGGAAGGAAGUUUUAACCAAGUUGAUUAUACGUGUGAUUGCUCAUUUUAAAAGUGUCAGAAAUGCAUUUCCUGUUAUAGCACAGAGGGAAGCACGAGAGUGAACGAUGUUUACGGGUUUCCUAUACUAGAGUUCAUCCACAAUCUGGGUUCUCCUGGACACUAGCUGAGCCCCAGGAACAACAGGGAGGAUGGUGCUGGCCUCAUAGCUUUCUUGGAGGACCAUGUUUUUCUUAUCAGUAGAUCUACAAGACCUUCUGUAUCACUCCCAACCAUCGCAAGAAUGACAAGCAUCAGGAGGGAUACAGAGAAAGACUUUGCUAACGGAAGAAGCUGACAGAAGCUGAGGAAACCACAUAGACGAGAACAGAACGUAUAAAAAUGGAGAUGUCUUCAUGCCUGAAAAAACGUGGGCCCUAAGUCUACCCAAGGAACCAAGCUUGAAUCUGUCUUAAAGAAUAAGCUGGGUCACCUGGCGAGCAGGCCGGAAGACGGGAAUUGGAGGGGCAAUCAUCCAGUACUACAGAGGUCGGAAAGCAGGAAACUACGUUCGUUGGAC